This 50-nucleotide non-coding RNA is filed under the name Trichobilharzia regenti. Lineage: Eukaryota; Metazoa; Platyhelminthes; Trematoda; Strigeidida; Schistosomatidae. The record is from RNAcentral.
GUACUGCUGAAGAGUCCCCAAACUAGGCUGACGAAACGGUUGUCCAGUAC